Molecule: ribosomal RNA, 410 nt
Filed under: Sphingomonas sp.
Lineage: Bacteria; Pseudomonadati; Pseudomonadota; Alphaproteobacteria; Sphingomonadales; Sphingomonadaceae
Description: bacterial SSU rRNA
Rfam family: Bacterial small subunit ribosomal RNA
Source: RNAcentral
CUCAGAAUGAACGCUGGCGGCAUGCCUAACACAUGCAAGUCGAACGAAUGCCCUUCGGGGUGUUAGUGGCGCACGGGUGCGUAACGCGUGGGAAUCUGCCCUUGGGUUCGGAAUAACAGUUGGAAACGACUGCUAAUACCGGAUGAUGACGUAAGUCCAAAGAUUUAUCGCCCAGGGAUGAGCCCGCGUAGGAUUAGGUAGUUGGUGUGGUAAAGGCGCACCAAGCCGACGAUCCUUAGCUGGUCUGAGAGGAUGAUCAGCCACACUGGGACUGAGACACGGCCCAGACUCCUACGGGAGGCAGCAGUGGGGAAUAUUGGACAAUGGGCGAAAGCCUGAUCCAGCAAUGCCGCGUGAGUGAUGAAGGCCUUAGGGUUGUAAAGCUCUUUUACCCGGGAUGAUAAUGACAG